Molecule: ribosomal RNA, 253 nt
Filed under: uncultured bacterium
Lineage: Bacteria
Description: partial 16S ribosomal RNA
Rfam family: Bacterial small subunit ribosomal RNA
Source: RNAcentral
UACGUAGGGUGCAGGCGUUAAUCGGAAUUACUGGGCGUAAAGCGUGCGCAGGCGGCUCCUUAAGUCAGAUGUGAAAGCCCCGGGCUUAACCCGGGAACUGCGUUUGAAACUGGGGAGCUAGAGUGUGGAAGAGGGGGGUGGAAUUCCAGGUGUAGCAGUGAAAUGCGUAGAGAUCUGGAGGAACACCGAUGGCGAAGGCAGCCCCCGGGGCUAACACUGACGUUCAUGCACGAAAGCGUGGGGAGCAAACAGG